Molecule: transfer RNA, 87 nt
Filed under: Marchantia polymorpha subsp. ruderalis
Lineage: Eukaryota; Viridiplantae; Streptophyta; Marchantiopsida; Marchantiales; Marchantiaceae
Rfam family: tRNA
About the family: Transfer RNA (tRNA) molecules are approximately 80 nucleotides in length. Their secondary structure includes four short double-helical elements and three loops (D, anti-codon, and T loops). Further hydrogen bonds mediate the characteristic L-shaped molecular structure. tRNAs have two regions of fundamental functional importance: the anti-codon, which is responsible for specific mRNA codon recognition, and the 3' end, to which the tRNAs corresponding amino acid is attached (by aminoacyl-tRNA synthetases). tRNAs cope with the degeneracy of the genetic code in two manners: having more than one tRNA (with a specific anti-codon) for a particular amino acid; and 'wobble' base-pairing, i.e. permitting non-standard base-pairing at the 3rd anti-codon position.
Source: Rfam by way of RNAcentral
CCGACCUUAGCUCAGUUGGUAGAGCGGGAGACUGUAGUCGUAAGAUCAGCCAUCUCUAGGUCGCUGGUUCGAAUCCGGCAGGUCGGA